UACGAAGGGGGCUAGCGUUGCUCGGAAUCACUGGGCGUAAAGCGCACGUAGGCGGAUUGUUAAGUCGGGGGUGAAAUCCUGGAGCUCAACUCCAGAACUGCCUUCGAUACUGGCGAUCUUGAGUCCGGGAGAGGUGAGUGGAACUCCGAGUGUAGAGGUGAAAUUCGUAGAUAUUCGGAAGAACACCAGUGGCGAAGGCGGCUCACUGGCCCGGUACUGACGCUGAGGUGCGAAAGCGUGGGGAGCGAACAGG
RNAcentral lists this ribosomal RNA (253 nucleotides) under uncultured bacterium. RNAcentral's name for it is "partial 16S ribosomal RNA". It matches the Rfam family "Bacterial small subunit ribosomal RNA", at positions 524 to 776 of the family's 1533-position model. The record is from RNAcentral.